GACAGCAGUAGCCGCGGGAACACGUAGGUGGCAAGCGUUGUCCGGAAUUAUUGGGCGUAAAGGGCUCGCAGGCGGUUUCUUAAGCCUGAUGUGAAAGCCCCCGGCUCAACCGGGGAGGGUCAUUGGAAACUGGGAAACUUGAGUGCAGAAGAGGAGAGUGGAAUUCCACGUGUAGCGGUGAAAUGCGUAGAGAUGUGGAGGAACACCAGUGGCGGAGGCGACUCUCUGGUCUGUAACUGACGCUGAGGAGCGAAAGCGUGGGGAGCGAACAGGAUUAGAUACCCGGGUAGUCCCUGUCUCUUAUAC
This 306-nucleotide ribosomal RNA is filed under the name uncultured bacterium. RNAcentral's name for it is "partial 16S ribosomal RNA". It matches the Rfam family "Bacterial small subunit ribosomal RNA", at positions 507 to 807 of the family's 1533-position model. The record is from RNAcentral.